This is a long non-coding RNA of Mytilus californianus (California mussel), 704 nucleotides long. RefSeq lists it as uncharacterized. NCBI's taxonomy places the organism in Eukaryota, Metazoa, Mollusca, Bivalvia, Mytilida, Mytilidae. The transcript is spliced from 2 exons. The record is from RefSeq and is a predicted model, not a curated record.
CACAACAUACAUAUUGAGUAUAAGUAUACACCUUAAUAUUCCAAUCUUCAUCAGAGUAUUAUCUAGACAUUUGAGAUUACCGGCUAAUAAGAAAACUAUAUAAACUGGUCACCGUCCAGAUAAAAGUCAAAACUGGACAAAGCCAUUAUAUUGUUUGUACACAAACAGCAGACUAAAUUAAAAUGGAGAGGAAAGUAUUAGUUCUUGUAGCAGUAAUUUUUCUUGUUGGUACAGUAUGUGCAACAUGUCGGACAAACUGUGCACACAGAUAUCAGGAAGAUGUAAACAGCUGUGAAGCCCACGGAGGUUCAAAUGAUGAAUGCGUAGAGAAGGCAACUGCACACAUGCUCCACUGCAUGAAACCAUGUUCAUCCAGAAAAAGAAGCGUGAACUGGAAGCUAUUCCAUGUGUAAAUAAUUAUUGACUUUCAAUUUUGACGAGGACUGUUUUGGAGAAAAUAGGUCCGAUAUACAAAUUCAUGAAACUUGAUAUUUAAAAUAACUGUCUGUGUUGUAUUACACUACACCAAGUUUGUUUGUUGCAUUUAAUUGUACAGAAACAGUAAGACUUAAUUUAGUGUAUGUAUUUAUUUAAUGGUUCAACAUGAAAUGUUGUUUUCUUUGUGCAAUGUCUUAUAUGACGAUACAUGUAUGUAAUACAACAUAAAUUAUUUUUUAUACUAAAAAUAAAUCAUGCUUAUUUUA